This 520-nucleotide unclassified non-coding RNA is filed under the name uncultured Glomus. RNAcentral describes it as "SSU rRNA". It matches the Rfam family "Eukaryotic small subunit ribosomal RNA", at positions 569 to 1087 of the family's 1831-position model. Lineage: Eukaryota; Fungi; Glomeromycota; Glomeromycetes; Glomerales; Glomeraceae. The record is from RNAcentral.
AGCAGCCGCGGUAAUUCCAGCUCCAAUAGCGUAUAUUAAAGUUGUUGCAGUUAAAAAGCUCGUAGUUGAAUUUCGGGACCAAUUUGUUGGUCGUGCCUCGGUACGUACUGGUAUUAUUGGUUUCUCCCUUCUGAAGAACCAUGAUGCCAUUAAUUUGGUGUCGUGGGGGAAUCAGGACUGUUACUUUGAAAAAAAUUAGAGUGUUUAAAGCAGGCAUACGCUUGAAUACAUUAGCAUGGAAUAAUGAAAUAGGACGUUUGAUUCUAUUUUGUUGGUUUCUAGGAUCGACGUAAUGAUUAAUAGGGAUAGUUGGGGGGCAUUAGUAUUCAAUUGUCAGAGGUGAAAUUCUUGGAUUUAUUGAAGACUAACUACUGCGAAAGCAUUUGCCAAGGAUGUUUUCAUUAAUCAAGAACGAAAGUUAGGGGAUCGAAGACGAUCAGAUACCGUCGUAGUCUUAACCAUAAACUAUGCCAACUAGGGAUCGGAUGAUGUUAAUUUUUUUAAUGACUCAUUUGGCGCC